Molecule: ribosomal RNA, 753 nt
Filed under: uncultured archaeon
Lineage: Archaea
Description: bacterial SSU rRNA
Rfam family: Archaeal small subunit ribosomal RNA
Source: RNAcentral
GGACAACCUACCCUCAGGUCGGGGAUAAACCCGGGAAACUGGGUAUAAUACCCGAUAGAUCUCGGCUGCUGGAAUGCAUCGAGUUCUAAAGCUCCGGCGCCUGAGGAUGGGUCUGCGGCCUAUCAGGUAGUAGUGGGUGUAGCGUACCUACUAGCCUACGACGGGUACGGGUUGUGAGAGCAAGAGCCCGGAGAUGGAUUCUGAGACACGAAUCCAGGCCCUACGGGGUGCAGCAGGCGCGAAAACUUUACAAUGCCGGCAACGGCGAUAAGGGGACCUCGAGUGCCAGGUUACAAAUCUGGCUGUCGUGAUGCCUAAAAAGCAUUGCAUAGCAAGGGCCGGGCAAGACCGGUGCCAGCCGCCGCGGUAACACCGGCGGCUCGAGUGGUAACCGUUAUUAUUGGGUCUAAAGGGUCUGUAGCCGGCCGGAUAAGUCUCUUGGGAAAUCCAGCAGCUCAACUGUUGGGCUUUCAGGAGAUACUGUCUGGCUCGAGGCCGGGAGAGGUGAGAGGUACUUCAGGGGUAGGGGUGAAAUCUUGUAAUCCUUGAAGGACCACCAGUGGCGAAGGCGUCUCACCAGAACGGACCUGACGGCAAGGGACGAAAGCUAGGGGCACGAACCGGAUUAGAUACCCGGGUAGUCCUAGCCGUAAACGAUACUCGCUAGGUGUCGGCCACGGUGCGACCGUUGUCGGUGCCGUAGGGAAGCCGUGAAGCGAGCCACCUGGGAAGUACGGCCGCAAGGCUGAAACU